Long non-coding RNA from Labrus mixtus (cuckoo wrasse), 249 nucleotides. RefSeq lists it as uncharacterized. The transcript is spliced from 3 exons. Lineage: Eukaryota; Metazoa; Chordata; Actinopteri; Labriformes; Labridae. The record is from RefSeq and is a predicted model, not a curated record.
UUCAUCUCCUCACAGAAAAUCUGAAGCUACAAGAAGAAGACAUCAUAAUCCAUUCAUCACUCUGACGACCUGCAUCAAACUCAGCCAUGAAGAUGCUGACCGUGUUGCUACUCGUCUGUGCCGCAACGGCCCUGACUGAUGCUGCUGAAGAACAGCCCGAUCACAUGACGGGAGAAUCAGAAGAACCAUCCAUUCAAGAAGCUGGUUCAGGAGACAAUGAAACGGCAGUUGACUCGUCCAUUCAAGACG